Molecule: unclassified non-coding RNA, 253 nt
Filed under: uncultured Elusimicrobia bacterium
Lineage: Bacteria; Pseudomonadati; Elusimicrobiota; Elusimicrobia
Description: contains 16S-23S intergenic spacer region
Rfam family: Bacterial small subunit ribosomal RNA
Source: RNAcentral
UACGAAGGUGGCAAGCGUUACUCGGAAUGACUAGGCGUAAAGGGCAGGUAGGUGGUUCGGUAAGUCUGCUGUGGAAGCUCCCGGCUUAACUGGGAGAGGUCAGCAGAUACUGUCGGACUUGAGUAUGGGAGAGGGUACUGGAAUUCCCGGUGUAGCGGUGAAAUGCGCAGAGAUCGGGAGGAACACCAAUGGCGAAAGCAAGUACCUGGACCAUUACUGACACUCAGCUGCGAAAGCUAGGGGAGCAAACAGG